GUCACCACCACCACCACCACCACUAACAUUCUCGACAAACCAACAUCGCCACAACAACUACUGCAAUUGAGGGAAUCCAUUGAUGGGUUGAGGAAGAGAAGACUGCGAGGAGGAGGAGGAGGAGGAGGAGGAGGAGGAGGAGGAGGAGGAGGAAGAGGAGGAGGAGGAGGAAGAGAAAACAUUGCUGAAGAUUUUAAUGUUUUUGCAUUCUUUGGACUAGUGGAAGAUAUGCAAGCCCUCUUCCACCACCACCACCACCACCACCACCACAGUAGUAGUAGCGGUAGUCUGAGUGGAGUGUGGUGGAGUGUAGUGGAAGGAGGGAGAGUGGAUGGAAUAGUAAUAGACAAGAAUGGUAUACUAUUUCAAGACGUGGCAACGCUGGAGCCCUCAGACACGUUCGGAUACAGACCUACACACGCAGGAGGCAUUGUGGUGGGGGUGCAGGGGGUAGGGGGCAGCAGGGGCCUCCUCUCCCCCUCCUCUUCUCCCCCUCCUCCACCCUGCCCUUCCCCACCACCCUUGUGAACCUAGCAGUUAGGGAAGUGGGGGUCAAGGCCACGUGUGAGGACUGUGAGGAUGACCCUGUGGAACAACAACAACAACAACAACAACCACGAAGAAUAAUAACAAUGGUGGCAGCAGUGGGAUUCGGGAAAGCAAGAGGAGGAGGAGGAGGAGGAGGAGGAAGCAAGAGGAAGAGGAGGAGGGCAGGCCACCCCUUCUUCCGACUCUUUUUACAGAGGCUGACACACCUGUCCAAACCUGCCACUGCAAACCUGACUACACACCUCAUUGUUUACGUGUCCUCGGCCACACCUGACAGAUAUGUGAGAGAGGCGAAUUGGGCUGUUAAGAGGCGGUGCAGUACUUACGACAGCUGCGCCCUCAUUGGUCCAAACCUUAACGACUCGGACACUUUAACAAUGCUUAGACGCAAGAUUCAAGAGAAGAACCCUGACCACCUCUUCCUCUUGGACCCAGCCGCCCACCUCACCCACGCCCACGCCCUCACCCACUUACUGAACAAAAGGAGGAAUGUGGUCGGUCCGGUCCUAACUUCGCCAGAUGGACAGACACACAAUCUAUUCAACAACAACAACAACAACAACAACAACAACAACAACAACAACAACAACAACAACAACAACAACAACAACAACAACAACUUAUUGGGAGCUUUCGCCUCCAGAUACAAGGAAGAAGGGCCACCCCCUCUGGACAUGGUGGGGCUGCUGCAGGUGGGGGGCUGCGGGGGGCUGUCCUCCUGACCAGACGCGCAUUGGAAGGCCUUGACCUCCCCUCCCUCACUGGUGACCUGACCCCGGAAGUGACCUGCAAGAUACUAGCUGGAAGGGGCUUCAUCCCAUAUGCCAGCAACCAGGUGCAUUAUGGGAAGCUUGUGGAGGAGGAGGAAGAGGAGGAGGAGGAGGAGGAGGAGGAGGAGGAGGAGGAGG
Scylla paramamosain (green mud crab) is the source of this 1457-nucleotide long non-coding RNA. RefSeq lists it as uncharacterized. The transcript is spliced from 9 exons. The record is from RefSeq and is a predicted model, not a curated record. Lineage: Eukaryota; Metazoa; Arthropoda; Malacostraca; Decapoda; Portunidae.